This 993-nucleotide ribosomal RNA is filed under the name Triticum aestivum (bread wheat). RNAcentral's name for it is "partial small subunit ribosomal RNA". The record is from RNAcentral. Lineage: Eukaryota; Viridiplantae; Streptophyta; Magnoliopsida; Poales; Poaceae.
GGAAACUUGUUGAAGGUAGGCCCGAAGAAAGGUGCAUCGUUUACCUGUCAAAGUAUUGUGGUGGGUAUUCAAACGUUCAAACGAGGGUGUAUAUGGCAAGUGGGUACAGGCGCACACAUAGAUAUAUGGCAAGACCCAUGGAUCCCAUCGAGCCCUUCGCGGAAACUUAUCACCCUGCGAGGACCAGUGAUGCUAAGAUAUGUGGAAGAAUUGAUUGAUCCUCAUUAGGGGAAGUGGGACGAAGCACUAAUCCGAGACGUGUUUUCUCUGGUUGAUGCUCACAGGAUCCUCCAAAUACCCUUAAAUGUUCAGGUGAUGGAGGAUUUUAUAGCAUGGAAUUUCAUGAGGUCAGGGACGUUCUCGGUCCGGUCAGCUUAUCAUAGAGGAUUUGAGCACACAUAUGGACACCGGCUUGCUAGAUCUGAUGGGCAAGGGAAUGCACAAGCUAACACAAUAUGGCAGGAAGUGUGUAACCUUAAUUUGCCUGGGAAGAUCAAGCACUUCACUUGGAAGGCGCUAAAUGGUUCACUGCCCUGCUAUGGAAUACUAGCUAACAGGCACAUCCCGCUUACACCAUAGUGUCCUUUCUGUUCGGUUGGGCUGGAAGAUAUUCAACAUUGCUUGUUUACAUGCCAAAGAGUACAGGAAGUCUGGACAGAAUUGGGAGUACUGAAUGUUAUUGAGGAUGCGGUUAUGCAGGAUAGGUCUAGAUCAGUUACAACAGAGAUUCUUAGUUGGGUACAAGGCAUCUCUGAAGGAGUACCAAUGCCUGAACUUUUUCUGGUAGCUGCAUGGUAUCUCUGGUGGCAGAGGCUUCAACAUGUGAAGGGGGAGGAGAUCCAAACAGUAGAAAAAGCAGCAAUAUCAAUUCGAGUGCUAGCGACCAAUUUUACUCGAGCAUACUCUAGCAAGUACUCAGAAAGGAAGCAAGACCACAUGUGGAAGCGGCCGACAAAUUAUGUGGUAAAAGUUAAUGUUGAUGCUGCUUUCUAG